RNAcentral lists this ribosomal RNA (506 nucleotides) under uncultured bacterium. Its description in RNAcentral is "partial 16S ribosomal RNA". It matches the Rfam family "Bacterial small subunit ribosomal RNA", at positions 30 to 523 of the family's 1533-position model. The record is from RNAcentral.
AUUGAACGCUGGCGGCAGGCCUAACACAUGCAAGUCGAAGGGUAACAGGAAACAGCUUGCUGUUUCGCUGACGAGUGGCGGACGGGUGAGUAAUGUCUGGGAAACUGCCUGAUGGAGGGGGAUAACUACUGGAAACGGUAGCUAAUACCGCAUAACGUCGCAAGACCAAAGAGGGGGACCUUCGGGCCUCUUGCCAUCGGAUGUGCCCAGAUGGGAUUAGCUAGUAGGUGGGGUAACGGCUCACCUAGGCGACGAUCCCUAGCUGGUCUGAGCGGAUGACCAGCCACACUGGAACUGAGACACGGUCCAGACUCCUACGGGAGGCAGCAGUGGGGAAUAUUGCACAAUGGGCGCAAGCCUGAUGCAGCCAUGUCGCGUGUAUGAAGAAGGCCUUCGGGUUGUAGAGUACUUUCAGCGGGGAGGAAGGGAGUAAAGUUAAUACCUUUGCUCAUUGACGUUACCCGCAGAAGAAGCACCGGCUAACUCCGUGCCAGCCGCCGCCGUAA